GUCUUGUGUUUCGCUCUAUUCCUGAUCUGGGCUAUUCCAGUUGAAAGUGACUAAAUUUUAUACUCUUCAGGAAAUUCAGGGAAUCAAAGAAAAUCACCAAGUACCUUCUCACGUGGGUGGAUAUCUCAAAUCGCUUGACACUGCUGGCUGGGCACCUUGUGCUGGAGGACCAGCACCAAUUCUCAGCAAACUCACAGCUGGACCGUACCAGAGAUCUGUUUUGAUUGAGUGACUUGACAAGCUCAAUGGGUCCACUGCAU
Long non-coding RNA from Callorhinchus milii (elephant shark), 260 nucleotides. RefSeq lists it as uncharacterized. The transcript is spliced from 3 exons. The record is from RefSeq and is a predicted model, not a curated record. Lineage: Eukaryota; Metazoa; Chordata; Chondrichthyes; Chimaeriformes; Callorhinchidae.